Molecule: non-coding RNA, 100 nt
Filed under: Pontibacter flavimaris
Lineage: Bacteria; Pseudomonadati; Bacteroidota; Cytophagia; Cytophagales; Hymenobacteraceae
Also listed under: 1 other name
Description: Pontibacter sp. S10-8 SAM riboswitch aptamer (S box leader)
Rfam family: SAM riboswitch aptamer (S box leader)
About the family: The SAM riboswitch is found upstream of a number of genes which code for proteins involved in methionine or cysteine biosynthesis in Gram-positive bacteria. The SAM riboswitch acts at the level of transcription termination control.
Source: Rfam by way of RNAcentral
AAUUUAUACCGAAGAGGUGAGAGAGCAGGCUCCGCGACCCUCUAGCAACCAGUUGAUGAACCAGGUGCUACAUCCUGCCCAAUUUUGGGACCUAUAAGUU